AUUUGCUUUUUCUUCUUCUAAUAAUAAAGUCUAUCUGUUAUAAUCCUUUUUUUUUCUCUCUUUUAAGGCAAUUAUUAAAUCAAAUACAUGACCCAAAACUGGUGUUUUUCUAAAUUGAAUCCUAACUAAAAAGAACACAGAUAACAUGUCAAAAGAGAAUCACACACCUCAAUUCAAAGGUUAGAUUAAUGCACAAAAAUCCCUCUUAAGCUCCCAAGAAGAUUAUAUAAAUUUUCUAGCCUCACAAAAUUCUUUCUACUCUUCCUCGUCAUCGUCUUCUUCAGGAGCCUCUUUUAGCCACUAAAGAAGAAAAAAAACAAAUUAAUGGCUUAAAUAAGAAACUAAUGAAUCUAAUGGGAGAGCUGUGAAGAAGAAAGUAACAUAAGCUUUGUAAGUGUGUAAAAAUAGAUGAAGAUAUAUACUUACUUGAAUAAAAGUUUGUGCUUGCUUAACAAAUACUUUAUCCGACUCAUCUGCUUCUUUCUUCUCAUCUUCCCAACUCAAAAUAGCAUCUUCUUCUAUAAUAUCUUCAUUAUACAUGUAAUGCAAAAUUUGAAAGAAAUUAACAAGUCAAAACAAAAGGAAGGGAAAGUCGAAUGUCGUGUUUGAAUGUGAAACUGUUGACUCCAAUCGUUUUAACAAUGAGGUAAUCC
RNAcentral lists this long non-coding RNA (653 nucleotides) under Trifolium pratense (red clover). RNAcentral's name for it is "long non-coding RNA (TPRA_LNC004598)". The record is from RNAcentral. Lineage: Eukaryota; Viridiplantae; Streptophyta; Magnoliopsida; Fabales; Fabaceae.